Non-coding RNA from Pelobates cultripes (western spadefoot toad), 281 nucleotides. The record is from the annotation of a GenBank genome assembly. NCBI's taxonomy places the organism in Eukaryota, Metazoa, Chordata, Amphibia, Anura, Pelobatidae.
AUUUUAUGUCAAAAGAAAGCCGUAUUUGCCCUUAACAAAAUUUUACACAAUAUGUAAGGGUGUACUUUAGAAGAUCCCUUAAAGGGACACUAUAGCACCAAAGCAACUUUAGCUUAAUGAAGCAGUUUUGCUGUAUGGACAAUGCCUCUGAAAUUUCACUGCUCAAUUCUAUGCCAUUUAGGAGAUGUUCUGUUUAUGCAGCCCUAGCCACACCUCCCCAGGCUGACACUGCCUGCAUGAAAACAAAACUGUUUGAUUUUCAAUCAGAUCGAGCAGGGCUC